Long non-coding RNA from Bactrocera dorsalis (oriental fruit fly), 1595 nucleotides. RefSeq lists it as uncharacterized. The record is from RefSeq and is a predicted model, not a curated record. NCBI's taxonomy places the organism in Eukaryota, Metazoa, Arthropoda, Insecta, Diptera, Tephritidae. The transcript has 2 exons.
CAUUUUCUGAUAAUAACCUUCACAAAUACUAUAAACUUUUCUUAUAAGAACAGUGAUCGGCCAGUUUGUAUAACAACAAUAUAUGCUAGAGUGACUCGAUUUGAACAAUUUGCAUUGUUGCCUUCAGAUCGACAUGUGAAAAACUGAGGGACAAGUUCGCGGAUAUACAGACAGACGGACAUUGGUUCUCUGACGUUUUCCUUUUGGGUGUUACAAACAUCGUGGCUAACGUAAUAUACUCUAUUCAGAGUAUAAAAAAAGUGGGAAAAGAGAGCGAUGUAUACUCGAAAUAUAAAAACAUGCGAUCCCUUUAUCAGACGAACUAAUAAAUUUUGCACACUACCACAGAUUAUUUGUAUUCCAUCCAAAAGUUUUACAGAGGCAGCUCCAAAAGCUCAAAAAAGUGUUAUAAUUAAGUGUUAUUAUUAAUACGUACCUUCGAUAGCAUAAUUGGUACAACAGUAUUGGUGUGCAAAGCCCGCAUCAACUCCUCUAAUUUAACUGUGGUGAUACGAGUAGAUUUGGGAGCAAAGCCAGCAUUAUUGAAUAACACAUUCAACCCGCCAUCUUUCACUACUUCACUAAUUUGACUUAUUAGGUUGCCAUAAUUAUUAAAAUUGAGCAAAUCUAAAACAAGGCAGAAACUGGUUUUACAACUUUUAUAACACAACCUUACAUAGUCUUCUCGACACUAAUGUGAGUACGCGUCAAUGUAUUACGUAUGUAGAUUGUCUUUUAUAUUUCGGGAUUCGAAGAAGAAAUGCAAAUUUUAAUCAUCGGUAAUCGAUUUAUUGUUUUUCAAAAUAUUCUCUAUUAUGAUUUAUACACUUUUGCAUGACUUUUGAACGCAUCAACCACUUCUUCAGGUAUCGAAAAACGUUGAUCUCUUAGUUUAUGUUUUUGCGAAGGGUAAUAAAAAAGUAGCGUUCGGUGUCACGUCAGGACUAUACGGAGGAUCACUCAUCAAAUCGAUGUUAUAAGUUGUCAAAAAUGCAGUUGUUUACGCGUAAUACGCGUAAAUCCACAGUACAACACCUGUCACGAUGUCAUAGACGUGUUUCGAAACACCGCUAUUGUAUUUUUUAUAACAUUUCUCUCGACCAAUUUGACAAAUUGUGUAUGAUUUAACGUGAACAAAUUGAAUUCACUAUACUAUCGAUAAAAUUUGAAUAAAGAUGAUUUAAGUGCUCUUGAUGAGUUAAUUAAUCCACGUCGAAAGUUGUAAAAAUAAUCGCGCGAAAAUGUUCGCGAUUUACAAGUAAUUCCAUUUUUAGGUCAUUAUUCUAAGUAAUAGCGCUCAUAUGUCAAGACUUUCUGAGUAUGCAUACCAUCAAAAAUGUCAAACUUAACGAUCAAAUUCUGAGUUUCCAGAUUGCAACACUAAUGUUGCCAAAUCCCGAAAUAUAAAAGGCAAUCUAUGUACGUAGUGACAUCGUGUAUAAAACUAGAGGCAAAAAUUAAGAGAUCUCUCAUUUUCACAUUGAACAUAAAUCAUUUUACUUAAACACCCAAAAUGAUAGAAUUAAGGAUUACGACAAUUUUUUCUGUUGUUUUUGGACGUGUUUGACAGAAUAAAUAAUAAAUAUAUAGAAAAA